This 492-nucleotide ribosomal RNA is filed under the name uncultured bacterium. RNAcentral describes it as "partial 16S ribosomal RNA". It matches the Rfam family "Bacterial small subunit ribosomal RNA", at positions 29 to 507 of the family's 1533-position model. The record is from RNAcentral.
AGUGAACGCUGGCGGUAGGCCUAACACAUGCAAGUCGAACGGCAGCACAGUAAGAGCUUGCUCUUACGGGUGGCGAGUGGCGGACGGGUGAGGAAUACAUCGGAAUCUACUUUUUCGUGGGGGAUAACGUAGGGAAACUUACGCUAAUACCGCAUACGACCUACGGGUGAAAGCAGGGGAUCUUCGGACCUUGUGCGAUUGAAUGAGCCGAUGUCGGAUUAGCUAGUUGGCGGGGUAAAGACCCACCAAGGCGACGAUCCGUAGCUGGUCUGAGAGGAUGAUCAGCCACACUGGAACUGAGACACGGUCCAGACUCCUACGGGAGGCAGCAGUGGGGAAUAUUGGACAAUGGGCGCAAGCCUGAUCCAGCCAUACCGCGUGGGUGAAGAAGGCCUUCGGGUUGUAAAGCCCUUUUGUUGGGAAAGAAAAGCAGCAGGUUAAUACCCCGCUGUUCUGACGGUACCCAAAGAAUAAGCACCGGCUAACUUCGUG